Pogona vitticeps (central bearded dragon) is the source of this 222-nucleotide non-coding RNA. The record is from RefSeq and is a predicted model, not a curated record. NCBI's taxonomy places the organism in Eukaryota, Metazoa, Chordata, Lepidosauria, Squamata, Agamidae.
CAGACUUCAACAGACGAAAGAGGCCAACGGGAUCACACAGCAGAGAGCUGUUAUCUUUGAAUUCAGAGGCAAAAGUCUUGUCACUGCCUUCUGCACUGACUGAAUCUUCUGAAGUAUAUUGAGAUGUCAGCCCUAUCCAUAACCCAAUGCUGGAAUCACAGCAGGACGAUACCAGAACAAAGGUCAAUGGAGACUCAACCUACAGACUUUUCAACCUGCAGC